Long non-coding RNA from Macrosteles quadrilineatus (aster leafhopper), 788 nucleotides. RefSeq lists it as uncharacterized. NCBI's taxonomy places the organism in Eukaryota, Metazoa, Arthropoda, Insecta, Hemiptera, Cicadellidae. The record is from RefSeq and is a predicted model, not a curated record. The transcript has 3 exons.
CUAGAUCACGAACUUACGACGACGGACGAUGGGACGGGACGAAGCUCUCGGAUGAAGCCAGGGGCUUAACCAGGGGCACUGGGCAGGACAGCUAACCUCAAAAUGUUAUUUUGGUCUGGUCGUUUAUACUCGUUUGGUGUUAUUAUUGAAUUGUGAUGUAGGAUCUAGGAGUACUGUUCGUGCGUGUAUUUAUCUAAGUAAAAUACUAACUGUAUACUAUAUUAAAUUUGUUUCACAUCCAGUUUAGUUAAAGCAUUUGAUGUCAUAAGAAGAUUACGGAUAAUGAUUCAAUAAUUUUUAAACCUGGAAUGUAGCAUUUCUAUUGAAAACUGUUCAUGGAGGGAAGCAAUAAUCAGGAGGAAUUAGAACUCGAGGUAAAAAACUGCCCAAAAGCUAUUCCUAAAAAAAGAGCAAAUAGUCAAACUGAAAAAUCAACUAAAAAGAUCAAAUUUGAACAGAAUAAAAGUGAUUCCACAACUAUGGAAGCAGGUGAUGACUCCGUGACUCCCCCUGAAAAUCUGAUUUUGGAAAAAAUCCUUUUAAAGAAACAAAAGGAAUUCUUUGGCUCACCAGAAGUGAUGGAAACAAUCAAGUUCCUGAUUAAUCGGAAAAGAAAAGAGUGUUGUUUAGACCAGUGAGGAAAUGCAGGAUUGACUACAUUUUACUUUCACUCAACAAUCACCCAGUUUCAGCAAAACAUCCAAUAAGCAGAGACAAGUUGUGCUGCAUAAAAACACCAUAAUGAUUUUUUACUUUUUAAUUUAUUAAAAUGAUAUAACAAAGAUAAA